CGGGCGAGCGCCGAGGGGACAGGCCGAGCGCGGGGCGCCGGAGGCAGGUGUGGGACAGGCACUGGCCUCAGACCGGGGCCACACUGAGGUCUGCCCUUCUCCCGCUGGCCGCCACCCAGGACACCAUGAGCCAGUCCGGGGCCGUGAGCUGCUGCCCGGGUGCCACCAAUGGCAGCCUGGGCCGGUCCGACGGUGUGGCCAAGAUGAGCCCCAAGGACCUGUUUGGUGCCUAGUCUGGAAAGCGAGAAGACCUGGGAGGGCAGGGAGAGUGAAGCUGGCAGCUCUCAGAGUGGGAAGAAGCCGGGCUGGGACCCCCUUCCUGUCCCCUCACCCUCCGGGACAGAAACCCCCCCGGCACAGGCUGCUGGUCCCCACUCUGAGCAAGCCCAUCGCCUUCUCCGAGCUGCGUCCUUCUCCAAGGGGGCUUCCCUGGAGGGAGGGAGGGGGCUUCCUGCAGGUCCUGAUUUCACACCCACAUCCUUCCUGGUGGCCAAGAGGUCCACGGAGCAGCCUCCCUCCGCUUGACUCCACCUUCCCUUGUGGGUCCAGUCCCAACUGGACGGGAGGCUGUGGGUCCUGCCCGUCGGGGGAGUGACUGGUGUCUCCCGGUUCAGAGCAGAGGAAGAAGUAUUCCAACUCCAACGUCAUCAUGCACGAGACUUCGCAGUACCACGUCCAGCACCUGGCCACAUUCAUCAUGGACAAGAGCGAAGCCAUCACGUCUGUGGACGAUGCCAUCCGGAAGCUGGUGCAGCUGAGCUCCAAGGAGAAGAUCUGGACCCAGGAGAUGCUGCUGCAGGUGAACGACC
RNAcentral lists this small RNA (809 nucleotides) under Pan troglodytes (chimpanzee). RNAcentral's name for it is "retained intron". Lineage: Eukaryota; Metazoa; Chordata; Mammalia; Primates; Hominidae. The record is from RNAcentral.